GCCUGGGUGGCUCAGUCGGUUAAGCGUCUGACUUCGGCUCAGGUCAUAAUCUCGCAGUUUGUGGGUUCGAACCCCGUGUUAGGCU
Molecule: transfer RNA, 85 nt
Filed under: Felis catus (domestic cat)
Lineage: Eukaryota; Metazoa; Chordata; Mammalia; Carnivora; Felidae
Rfam family: tRNA
About the family: Transfer RNA (tRNA) molecules are approximately 80 nucleotides in length. Their secondary structure includes four short double-helical elements and three loops (D, anti-codon, and T loops).
Source: Rfam by way of RNAcentral